GGCUGCAACUCGCCUACAUGAAGUUGGAAUCGCUAGUAAUCGCGAGUCAGAAUGCCGCGGUGAAUACGUUCCCGGGUCUUGUACACACCGCCCGUCACACCACGAGAGUUUACAACACCCGAAGUCAGUGGCCUAACCGCAAGGAGGGAGCUGCCUAAGGUGGGGUAGAUGAUUGGGGUGAAGUCGUAACAAGGUACC
RNAcentral lists this ribosomal RNA (198 nucleotides) under uncultured bacterium. RNAcentral describes it as "partial 16S ribosomal RNA". It matches the Rfam family "Bacterial small subunit ribosomal RNA", at positions 1303 to 1500 of the family's 1533-position model. The record is from RNAcentral.